GACGAACGCUGGCGGCGUGCCUAAUACAUGCAAGUCGAGCGGACUUAAAAAGCUUGCUUUUUAAGUUAGCGGCGGACGGGUGAGUAACACGUGGGCAACCUGCCUGUAAGACUGGGAUAACUUCGGGAAACCGGAGCUAAUACCGGAUAAUCCUUUUCUACUCAUGUAGAAAAGCUGAAAGACGGUUUACGCUGUCACUUACAGAUGGGCCCGCGGCGCAUUAGCUAGUUGGUGAGGUAACGGCUCACCAAGGCGACGAUGCGUAGCCGACCUGAGAGGGUGAUCGGCCACACUGGGACUGAGACACGGCCCAGACUCCUACGGGAGGCAGCAGUAGGGAAUCUUCCGCAAUGGACGAAAGUCUGACGGAGCAACGCCGCGUGAGUGAUGAAGGUUUUCGGAUCGUAAAACUCUGUUGUUAGGGAAGAACAAGUACGAGAGUAACUGCUCGUACCUUGACGGUAC
This 465-nucleotide ribosomal RNA is filed under the name uncultured bacterium. RNAcentral's name for it is "bacterial SSU rRNA". It matches the Rfam family "Bacterial small subunit ribosomal RNA", at positions 28 to 478 of the family's 1533-position model. The record is from RNAcentral.